RNAcentral lists this ribosomal RNA (255 nucleotides) under uncultured bacterium. Its description in RNAcentral is "partial 16S ribosomal RNA". It matches the Rfam family "Bacterial small subunit ribosomal RNA", at positions 524 to 776 of the family's 1533-position model. The record is from RNAcentral.
UACAGAGGACUGCAAGCGUUAUUCGGAUUCGACUGGGCGUAAAGGGUGCGCAGGCGGUCGGGUGUGUCAGAUGUGAAAUCCCGAGGCUCAACCUCGGAACUGCGUCUGAAACUACUCGACUAGAGUACUGGAGAGGGUAACGGAAUUCACGGUGUAGCAGUGAAAUGCGUAGAUAUCGUGAGGAACACCAGAGGCGAAGGCGGUUACCUGGACAGUUACUGACGCUCAGGCACGAAAGCAUGGGGAGCAAAAGGG